RNAcentral lists this transfer RNA (73 nucleotides) under Paramuricea clavata. It matches the Rfam family "tRNA". Rfam says of the family: Transfer RNA (tRNA) molecules are approximately 80 nucleotides in length. Their secondary structure includes four short double-helical elements and three loops (D, anti-codon, and T loops). Lineage: Eukaryota; Metazoa; Cnidaria; Anthozoa; Malacalcyonacea; Plexauridae. The record is from Rfam by way of RNAcentral.
GGCUCUGUAGCUCAGUUGGUUAGAGCGCUGCACCGGAAUCACAGGGCCGCAGGUUCGAUGCCUGCCAGGGACC